This 119-nucleotide ribosomal RNA is filed under the name Pteropus alecto (black flying fox). The record is from RNAcentral. Lineage: Eukaryota; Metazoa; Chordata; Mammalia; Chiroptera; Pteropodidae.
GUCUACGGCCAUGCUACCCUGAACAAGCCCAAUCCCGCCUGAUCUAGGAAGCUAACCAGUGUCGGGCUUUGUUAGUAUUUGGAAGGGAGACCGCCUAGGAAGACCAGGUGCUGUAGGCA